AUCUGGCAACGAGGCUGCGAGGAAAUCUUAAUGAUAUUGGACAUAUUGUUUUCCCCGGUGUACAAGGUAGAGUUGAAAGAUGCAAGUGGUGUUUCUGAUCACUUUCCUUUUGGUCUCAGCUCACUGCACACCAUGGAAACCACCGAUCAACAGAGCGACUACCAGAGCCCCCAUGCUGCCGUCACCACCGAGAACAGAAAUUGCUCCUCCUCUGACUCCGAGGCCCCCAGGCCCUUUCACCCCAGACAGACGGGGAGACACGUGAUUCAUGAAGUUCUGCAGGGAUUUCAGAGCGAAAGGCAGCUUCUUCCCCCGCAUCCACACCACAGCUGACGAUCCAACACAGCAGCUCUCUGCUCCGUGUCCCACAAGGGACCCUCUUCUGUAUCCUGGCUAAAAUGGCACUUCAUUAAAAAUGUUUCUGUCACUACGAUAUUCCCAAGUGGAAUGAUAUUUCCCAUCAUUAUCAGCCUUUAAAGAGAGAUGGGGAAAACGAGCAAAGGAAUCGAGGGAACAGGAUCUCUUUUUUCCUGGGAAGCCCUAGGCGUAGCUAAAAAUCAAGAGGUUCUAUGACAAAGGAAGAGGGCAAGAGGAUACUGGGGUGGUGGUGGGUGACAGGACUGUCUCCAGGUGACAUCCAAGCCCUUGAGAGACCACUGGGAUGUUUCCAGCAAGAGGAGAUGGUAUUCUGACCCUUUUAACUGGGACAGAAAUUUGAUGAAGCUCAGGGGAAAUGCACCUAAAAUUUCCCCUUGUCUUAUUUGGGAGGCAGAGUUAGCAGUUUCUCCCUAAUCACAGAUGUGCAAAGAAAAGGGAACAAGAGGAGUUCCUGUUGUGGCUCAGUGGUUAAAGAAUCCGACUAGGAACCAUGAGGUUGUGGGUUCGAUCCCUGACCCCGCUCAAUGGGUUAAGGAUCCGGCAUUGCCGUGAGCUGUGGGGUAGGUUGCAGAUGCGGCUCGGAUCCCGAGUUGCUGUGGUGUAGGCUGGCAGCUACAGCUCCGAUUUGACCCCUGGCCUGGGAACCUCCAUAUGCCACGGGUGCGGCCCUAGAAAAAGCAAAAAGACAAAAAAAAAAAAAAAAAAAAAAGAAAAAAAAAGAGGGGGGAGAAAAAGGGGGAAUGGGAAAAGCACCAG
RNAcentral lists this long non-coding RNA (1134 nucleotides) under Sus scrofa (pig). Its description in RNAcentral is "lncRNA (ENSSSCG00015037961.1)". Lineage: Eukaryota; Metazoa; Chordata; Mammalia; Artiodactyla; Suidae. The record is from RNAcentral.